This 253-nucleotide ribosomal RNA is filed under the name uncultured bacterium. Its description in RNAcentral is "partial 16S ribosomal RNA". It matches the Rfam family "Bacterial small subunit ribosomal RNA", at positions 524 to 776 of the family's 1533-position model. The record is from RNAcentral.
UACGUAGGGUGCGAGCGUUAAUCGGAAUUACUGGGCGUAAAGCGUGCGCAGGCGGUUUUGUAAGCCAGACGUGAAAUCCCCGGGCUCAACCUGGGAAUGGCAUUUGGGACUGCAAGGCUGGAGUGUGGCAGAGGAGACUGGAAUUCCUGGUGUAGCAGUGAAAUGCGUAGAUAUCAGGAGGAAUACCGAUGGCGAAGGCAGGUCUCUGGGCUGACACUGACGCUCAUGCACGAAAGCGUGGGGAGCAAACAGG